This 465-nucleotide ribosomal RNA is filed under the name uncultured bacterium. RNAcentral describes it as "bacterial SSU rRNA". It matches the Rfam family "Bacterial small subunit ribosomal RNA", at positions 198 to 644 of the family's 1533-position model. The record is from RNAcentral.
GGAGGAAAGUAGGGGAUCGCAAGACCUUGUGCUUUUGGAGCGGCCGAUGUCUGAUUAGCUAGUUGGUGGGGUAAUGGCUUACCAAGGCUUCGAUCAGUAGCUGGUCUGAGAGGACGACCAGCCACACUGGGACUGAGACACGGCCCAGACUCCUACGGGAGGCAGCAGUGGGGAAUUUUGGACAAUGGGGGAAACCCUGAUCCAGCCAUGCCGCGUGAGUGAAGAAGGCCUUCGGGUUGUAAAGCUCUUUCAGCCGGAACGAAAUGGUUACGGUUAAUACCCGUGACAAAUGACGGUACCGGAAGAAGAAGCACCGGCUAACUACGUGCCAGCAGCCGCGGUAAUACGUAGGGUGCAAGCGUUAAUCGGAAUUACUGGGCGUAAAGCGUGCGCAGGCGGUUUUGUAAGUCAGAUGUGAAAUCCCCGGGCUUAACCUGGGAACUGCGUUUGAAACUACAAAGCUAG